AAGGACAGAAGAGAAGGCAGAUGAAAUUUCUGAAUACGUUUGCCCUGAAUCACAUUGAACAUGCAUGACCAAAACCAGGGCUAUGAUGACCAGCAAGUUUGUGUUGAGGGACCCAAGGCUGCUAGAACAGAGAAAAGAAAGCAAACAUCUUUAGAACUCUACCUGCAAAUGGCUAGCCAAUUUAUUAUUUAUGCAGUUAUAAUUAAUAGUGUAUCGAAAAUCCAACUCCUACGUGUUAAAUAUCAGAGCGACUGAUUAUCUUUGCUAGAAUGAAAAUGUCAAUAUAAUCAUGCACUUUGAUAUGCAGAUAAU
RNAcentral lists this unclassified non-coding RNA (312 nucleotides) under Hevea brasiliensis (rubber tree). Lineage: Eukaryota; Viridiplantae; Streptophyta; Magnoliopsida; Malpighiales; Euphorbiaceae. The record is from RNAcentral.